GUCAGGAUGGCCGAGUGGUCUAAGGCGCCAGACUCAAGUUCUGGUCUCUGUAUGGAGGCGUGGGUUCAAAUCCCACUCCUGACA
This 84-nucleotide transfer RNA is filed under the name Alligator mississippiensis (American alligator). RNAcentral's name for it is "tRNA-Leu (CAA) (tRNA-Leu-CAA-3-1)". It matches the Rfam family "tRNA". Rfam says of the family: Transfer RNA (tRNA) molecules are approximately 80 nucleotides in length. Their secondary structure includes four short double-helical elements and three loops (D, anti-codon, and T loops). The record is from RNAcentral. Lineage: Eukaryota; Metazoa; Chordata; Crocodylia; Alligatoridae.